Long non-coding RNA from Bombina bombina (fire-bellied toad), 494 nucleotides. RefSeq lists it as uncharacterized. The transcript is spliced from 4 exons. NCBI's taxonomy places the organism in Eukaryota, Metazoa, Chordata, Amphibia, Anura, Bombinatoridae. The record is from RefSeq and is a predicted model, not a curated record.
GAAAUGUUUUUGUCAUUAUUGAAAGGCAUCUGGACGUACUUAUCGGUACCUUAGAUCAUCUGGUGAUAUCACUAACAAAAACAGUGAAAUCACUUAUUGGAGAUAUUGACAACAUUCUUACUGAUCUGAGCAAAGUAUUGAAAUGCAGUCUUCCCAUUGUUGGGCCAUUGAUCGCAGGUGUCCUUCCUCUUCUUGGUGGUGCCUUGGGCGUUGUAGGGGCUGUUGUUGAUACUGCUCUUAAUGUUGUUGGCGGUGUUGUUAAUGGUCUUCUUGGUGGCAGCGGUGGUCUUCUUGGUGGCAGCGGUGGUCUUCUUGGUGGUCUUUUUGGUGGCAGCGGUGGCCUUCUUGGUGCUGGACGCAGAUAAGGUCUCUUUGGCUGAUACAGGAACAUCUCUGCUCCAUCUCUGCAAAACCAGCUGAUGUGGAUUUACUGAUUCUUAAUGAUUUUUUUCUGUUUCUCUAGAUUUUCAUUUACUUGUAUCAACUGUUAAUGA